UACGGGGGGGGCAAGCGUUGUUCGGAAUUACUGGGCGUAAAGGGCUCGUAGGCGGCCAACUAAGUCAGACGUGAAAUCCCUCGGCUUAACCGGGGAACUGCGUCUGAUACUGGAUGGCUGGAGUUUGGGAGAGGGAUGCGGAAUUCCAGGUGUAGCGGUGAAAUGCGUAGAUAUUGGGAGGAACACUAGUGGCGAAGGCGGCUCACUGGACCGGUACUGACGCUGAGGCGCGAAAGCGUGGGGAGCAAACGGG
RNAcentral lists this ribosomal RNA (253 nucleotides) under uncultured bacterium. RNAcentral's name for it is "partial 16S ribosomal RNA". It matches the Rfam family "Bacterial small subunit ribosomal RNA", at positions 524 to 776 of the family's 1533-position model. The record is from RNAcentral.